CCGGGCACCCUCCCGCCUCCGUCGCUCCUCUAGGUCGCACCACACAAAAGAAGGAGGGAAAAGAUAGAAUAGUAAAGAAGAAGAAGAAGAAAGACAUCCGAGUCGAGUCAGAUGAAGAGAUGUAGUAACUCUGGUCUUACUCUUUGCCAGGGUUUUUCUGGGAGCAUGUUCCUUCAUCCCGUCCACGAUCAACGUAAGAAGGGAUUAGGGAUAUGUGGGUUCCAUCACGCGUGCGCCUACACAAUUUGAUUUGACCUCUUAUUUCUCUUAUCCGAGGUAGUAUGUAACUAGGGAUUUGUCCUGUCGGUACCCCUCUAUCAGUCUUUCCCGGGUAUUAAUGUGAGGGUGUUUGGGGGGUGCGAUCAGCAGGGUUCCUCCCGCCCUUGAUCCCCGUCUCCCCGCCCCGUAUCCCCCCCCCCCUUUCAAUGCGGGACUCUCCAGUUCCUACGCUAUCUCGCAGGCGUUCAGUCAAUGAGGUCGUGUUGUAAUUGUCUGGUGUCUCUUCCCAAGGUGUUUAUCCGUCCGCCACCCUUUCCCCCUCUAUGUGGUUAGGUGUGAAGAUAUAUGUAUACAGGAAGUGCUACCCUGACCGUUGCAAUCCUACGCGUCUAUUGUGUGAUGUUGGUGUUCGUGGGAUCACGGGUUGGUAGUGUCAUUAUGAUCAUGCAUAGGAGGGUAUAACCGAUUUGUCUCGGUUCCUAUCGGGAGUAUUUCCCAUGUAGGGGGGGUCGCUAGGUGGG
This is a non-coding RNA of Pelobates cultripes (western spadefoot toad), 740 nucleotides long. The record is from the annotation of a GenBank genome assembly. NCBI's taxonomy places the organism in Eukaryota, Metazoa, Chordata, Amphibia, Anura, Pelobatidae.